RNAcentral lists this ribosomal RNA (254 nucleotides) under uncultured bacterium. RNAcentral's name for it is "partial 16S ribosomal RNA". It matches the Rfam family "Bacterial small subunit ribosomal RNA", at positions 524 to 776 of the family's 1533-position model. The record is from RNAcentral.
GACAGAGGGUGCAAACGUUGUUCGGAAUUACUGGGCGUAAAGCGCGUGUAGGCGGCUUUGCAAGUCGGGUGUGAAAGCCCUCAGCUUAACUGAGGAAGUGCGCCCGAAACUGCAGAGCUCGAGUACCGGAGAGGAUGGCGGAAUUCCCCAAGUAGAGGUGAAAUUCGUAGAUAUGGGGAGGAACACCGGUGGCGAAGGCGGCCAUCUGGACGGAUACUGGACGCUGAGACGCGAAAGCGUGGGUAGCAAACAGG